GAAAGAUGACCUUAAGGGGAAUGCAGGGGGGAUUCAGACAGGCUUUGGUCAAAGCCCCCAGAUCUAAUGUAAUUUCAAGCUGGCCUCAAAUUCAAUUUGUGUGGAACCUCUAAGUCAUCUAUUCUGCCACGACAUACAGUAUAAUUGCAUUUGAACAGCUUCCAACAGAGCACUGAGCAAGUGUCCUGUUCCAGGCCCUCGGUGCCUGCAAGGCCGGCGGCCCCGAUGACCACACAGGAGGACCGGCUCGGAUCGCAGUCUGCCUGCCGAUCCCACCUGCUGACCAUUGCCCUGCACAGGAAGCACGUGUUUCUGCUUAACUCCUGCCCGCGUUUGGCUGUCAGCAGGGAAUUUUUGAGGAAUGCGACCAUCACUUUAUGGAGGAACAGACUGUUCUGAACUUCACAGAAUAUAUUACUAUGGAAGUCGGUGUUCAGAAAGUCAAGCAGAAAUGGCUGUGAGUUUAUUUCUGUCCAAUGGCGUUUUUAACGCAGGAAAGAGCCACAGUGGAGACAGACUCAGAGAACCCUACACCAGCAUAUUUCUGCACGUUUUCUAGUAAACAUAAACACUCCACUGUCUUUAUUUACAUGGUCCUAUUUUCAUUCUACCUGUGUAUUUUUAGGAAGUUCAAUAAAAUAUUUGCUCAGGAAGUACUCCGGACAUGUGAAGGCCCAAGGUGCCAAGUCAUACAAAGAACUGGAUGCAAGAGAGGAACAGGAAGUUGAAUGGGUGAAAAGUGGUUGGGCAGAGAAGCACAAAAGGGAAGGGAAAAAAAGUGCAGAAUGAC
Molecule: long non-coding RNA, 790 nt
Organism: Bubalus bubalis (water buffalo)
Lineage: Eukaryota; Metazoa; Chordata; Mammalia; Artiodactyla; Bovidae
Exons: 2
Source: RefSeq, a predicted model, not a curated record